Pogonomyrmex barbatus (red harvester ant) is the source of this 906-nucleotide long non-coding RNA. The record is from RefSeq and is a predicted model, not a curated record. Lineage: Eukaryota; Metazoa; Arthropoda; Insecta; Hymenoptera; Formicidae.
UCUCAGAAAAAACUGGAAUGUUAACGCACACUCAGGAAGGAAUUGGACAAUCGCGAAAUGAAAGGAACGCAACGCAGUAAUUAUGUACUCUUUUGCGCGAUAUUAAGUCUUACUAAUGAUCACCUAUUUGGCUGUAAUUAUUUAUACGCUGAUUGCGGUUAACGGGAAAGUAUUUGUUAGCUCGAGUAAAUGUGAGAUAUGUUGAUGUCUACUCUGAUUUAUUGUUGCUUUGCUACUGAUAUUUAUAUAUCUCGCGUAUAUAUCAUACAUUUCAAUUCCGCGCGGUAUUAAUGGGGCGUACGGAAGCUCGCGUGAAAAGCGAAAAGAGCAAGCUGAAUCUGCAACAAUACGGAUGUCGGAAAAAUAUUCAUGAAUAGGCGACAUUCGGCGAAGAUUCUACUCCGACAUUGUCGAGAUGCGAAGCGAGCAACCGGACUACAUCCUGCGCAAUAAGGUACGGAUUGGAAAACGCGGAGAGGAAAAGCGAAAGGAGAUGAAUACGUGCAGAAGGUUGUGAAGGAAAAUUGCGAAAGUUGUUACUCUACGUGAUAAAUAAAGUCGUACUUUCUCGACGGCGCAAAGAAUUGAUCCCCCUGGCGUACUCGGUCGUCGUAAUGUCGAGUACCAUGUCGAGUUCAGAGGGUAUCGCGUAAUCUUUAAUGGUUCUAAUAAUUUUCACUCUUCUCGUUCCACGAUAAAUCGAGAGAUUCGCCAUGCUGCUUUCUAUCACCUUUCGCAGACUGGUUUCGCUCGAAUGCGUUGAUGCUAAAAAAGCACAAUCAAUCUUUCAUUUUGUAUAUUCUGUUAUAGGCUUAAUAUAAUUAACUUUUAAUUUCUAUUGUUUAACAAAAGAAAUAUGUAUAAUGCAAAAAUCUUUUCAACAAAGUUCUGUGCUAUGAAAAUAUA